CCUACGGGAGGCAGCAGUGGGGAAUAUUGCACAAUGGGGGGAACCCUGAUGCAGCAACGCCGCGUGGGUGAAGAAGUACUUCGGUAUGUAAAGCUCUGUCAGCAGGGAAGAAAAUGACGGUACCUGACUAAGAAGCCCCGGCUAACUACGUGCCAGCAGCCGCGGUAAUACGUAGGGGGCAAGCGUUAUCCGGAUUUACUGGGUGUAAAGGGAGCGUAGACGGCAAGGCAAGUCUGGAGUGAAAGCCCGGGGCUCAACCACGGGACUGCUUUGGAAACUGUGUUGCUGGAGUGCAGGAGGGGUAAGCGGAAUUCCUAGUGUAGCGGUGAAAUGCGUAGAUAUUAGGAGGAACACCGGUGGCGAAGGCGGCUUACUGGACUGUAACUGACGUUGAGGCUCGAAAGCGUGGGGAGCAAACAGGAUUAGAUACCCGAGUAGUC
RNAcentral lists this ribosomal RNA (440 nucleotides) under uncultured bacterium. Its description in RNAcentral is "partial 16S ribosomal RNA". It matches the Rfam family "Bacterial small subunit ribosomal RNA", at positions 338 to 795 of the family's 1533-position model. The record is from RNAcentral.